Mizuhopecten yessoensis (Yesso scallop) is the source of this 3280-nucleotide RNA transcript. It is a transcript of the gene named nucleolin-like, with no coding region annotated. The record is from RefSeq and is a predicted model, not a curated record. The transcript is spliced from 6 exons. NCBI's taxonomy places the organism in Eukaryota, Metazoa, Mollusca, Bivalvia, Pectinida, Pectinidae.
UUUUACGUCAUAUCCGGUUCAAGAGGUGUGCUGAAGAGUUGACGUUUUAUCAAAGGUAUUUCGUCUUCGGAUAACAUGAAGGGGACAUCUGUAGUGGCAGUCUGUGUUUUAGCUAUGUGUUUGGUAGAGGAGACUUGCUGCAAGGCAAUAGCCAAGGGAGGAAACAACAAUGUUCCACUCAAAGGCAGAAAGAACUCUCCGUCUGAUGUUGACGUCAUACAUUCCAAACCAAAACUUCAAUCCACGACAAAAUUGGAACCAAGUGGACGCGAGAUGGACGUUGAUGACACUAGUGACCUGGUGAUUCACGACCGCAGGGAGUUACAAGCGACCGGUGAACCUUGUGAAAAAGGGGGCGUGGCCUGUCGACGCCGUAAGAAGCGACAGUUUUCAAAGCUGUUAAAUGACCCCCGGAGAUCAACGCCGGGGACAAACGGAGUGUAUGAUCUACAAACAGUGGACAACAUUCAUGACGAGAAAUCGUUUUUCUCUGACUCAUUGUUUGAUGACGAUGACGAUGAAGAUGGCCACAUCAUGAUACUAAGGCAGCGAAAACGACGUGAUUCUGAUAUUUCCUCCGAUGACUCUGAUGAAGCUAGUAUGUUCGAUGAUAUUGGUGGUGAUAAACCUUCGUAUUCUGAAAUUCUUGGUUCAUAUUUGCAUGGAGAGGACGAUAUGCCUUUUCGAGCUAAAAGAGAUAUGCUGUCUGAUUCAGCAUUUACUGAUGAACUUGAAAAGGACAGCAAUGACGACAACGAUAAUGAAGAUGACACCGAUUUGUCAAUAUCAUCGGAGGACUGGAGUUUACCCCUUCUGAAGGACAGGCUUAAAAGAGAAACAGAUACUUCAAGUCUAGACACGUUUGAAGAAGAAAAUGAUGAAAUAUUCGACGAUGUUGUUGAUGACGAUGACACUGACGACGAAAGCGUUAAAAGUGAUGUCGAUAAAAAGACAGUCAAGAAACGUCAACAAGCGGGUUUGCCAAAUAAAAGAAUUCUGCAAGAACCCGCCAAUCAAGAUAAAACAAAAGACAUUCCUAAUAAUUUUGGUUUAGUAGAUCGGGACAAAUCUUUAAUGAACAAAAAAUACACCACUAGUCAUCGCACAGGACAAAUGAUCAAGCAACAUGUUCCUGAAUUACAGGAUGAAGACGCUGAUGACGACACCAGUUCAAGUAAUGCUAAGAAUAGCGGUCCGGAAACAGAAAGUGAUGCUGAGUUAUCUGAUAUUCCUCUUGACGCUCAGUCGGGGGUUGUUUUGGACAGAGUCCCCCGAGACAGUCAGGAUAUAACGGUCUAUGAGGAAGGCGGUGAACCGAACUCUGGUGAGAACAACUCCUUUCAAGCUAGAGGAAAAGGACAGGUGGUAAAGAAUUGAUAAUUUUGUAAAAAAAAUCUUAAAAAAUAGACUGGAGCAACGUUAGUCGGGACACAUAUUUCUAAAAUCAAAAGUGGAAAAGCAGAUAUUUCUUUAAGAAAAAUGGAACAAAGUCAGUGUCUGACAAUACAGUAUAUGCAAUUUUAUUGCGAUUUAUUCUGUAGUACUAAUUAGAGUGUAUCCUUACUAUUUAACUUUAUUUCCCAAGUGAAUAUUAUAAUGACUGUUUAAACAAAAAUACAUGAAUAGGUUAUGACUGUUACUCAUUUAAAGUUUAAAGUAAAUACUUACUUGCCUUUGUAUUGCAAAUUACAAAGACGCGCCAUGAUUAAUAUUUUAACAUGCCAUAAUUACAUUUCGAACAUAAUUAUGACCAAGGUUCGAUCACUUAGUAUUAAAUUACCUGUCGACACACAAAUGUGAUAUUUAUAGCUGUUAAUUCUGUAGGUUACGGUAGAUCAUCUCCGUCCUAAAAAACUUCAUUUCCCGUGGAACGUGUGACCCACACUUUGGACUUUUCUAAUGUGGUUUUGCAAUAUUAUGUUUGUCAGGAUUUUAUUGAAGCGUGUUGUGAAAAUGAUAUACAAUGUGUUACUUAGGGAUUGUCGGUGUGUAAGGCGACAACCGAACGGAUCUUUUUCAUUGGGUAUUCGGCUAGCUUCCUUAAAAAUAUUAAACUGUUAUCACUCAAAAUAUAAAUCAGUUAAUCUUUGUAAUGGCAUCCGAGACCGAUGCCUACUUAUAACUAAGAGUUUCGUAAAGAUGCAGAUUAUUGAAUAUUUAUGGUCGCUGUCUUGAUAUCAUUGGUAAAUAUGCUAUUUCUUUAAGAAAUGGAAUUUAUUUUUUCAACGUUCAUGAGGUCAUAACAACAUUGGCUUUCUGGCAAAUUUACCAUGAAUGGCGUGGCUGUCUGGACAUAUUUCCAUAAAUAUGUCCAGAAAGCAUGUUGUUAUGACCUCACAAAUGUUAAAAACACAACCUGUGUUAUGUUUUGUUGGCCAUAAUACAUACUUCAUAACCAAUGAAAAUGCGUCAUGACAUCGCCGAGGGGAUGAUCCGGAUGAUCAUCAGAAAUGUUUUUCAGACAUUAUAGCGUUCAUACAAAGAACAAUAGUAGGUAUGUAAAUUAAACAAUGUCAUACAUGUAUGUUGUUAUGGUAUGCGGUAGAUAACACUUGGUCAUUUUGCGGAUGUGAGUCCACACAAAAUCUCCUGCUUUUACAUCAGAUUAAGACACGUGUGGCACAACCAAGAUGAAUAUUUUCGACCAACGAGAUACGAUUCUCCGAGCAGACUAUGUGCAACUUUCUGAAAUAAGGUUCCUGAGCUGUAUCCCACUGUAUUGGCCUUUCAAACACUAAUGAGAGACCCACUAUAUAACUGUGGUGGGGGUGGGGUUCUUCUGUGUUUUGUGCUUAGUGGACAUCUGAGAAAGCAUAGUUGAUCUGUUGAGCCCAUUGUGACACUUGCAACCUGUUUACCGUUCCCCAACCUAUUCUCCAUUUUCGGCGUUGUAUUCGUUGGUUAGGCCAUUGUCUGUUUGAGAUGUAUAGUUAGCCUCGAUAAAAUACCCUUCGUAUCAUAAGCCAUCUCGCCAAAUUUUACAUACACGCGCAAACUUUGUGACAGUAUAACAAAGUUUUCUUUUACAGGCAAAUACAUACUUUUCUGAGUCCCCAACUUGAACAAUCUCAAAUUCCUAUCUUUAAAUAAUCUUCAAAGAAGUUAUUUUGAAAUACCAGGACAGCUAGUAGACAUCGAUUCCAACUGCACAUGGGGUGAAAUAUGCUGUGCAUGGUCGACAUCCGAUCCGGAUGAUCACAUAGGUACUUGGAGUGGGAGGCGUGGGAUUCCUGUAGUGUGACGUGUGGAGUAGGACGGUCCACGAGGAGGCGUGUCUGUA